UCAACCGAGAUUCCGCAAGUAGUGGCGAGCGAACGCGGAAAAGCCUGUAUAUGAUAAUGGUUAGGAUAGAAGAAGGGAUUGGAAACUUCCGCCAUAGUGGGUGAUAGCCCCGUAUUUGAAAUCUUAACCAUGGUACUAAGUAUACGAGAAGUAGGGCGGGACACGUGAAAUCCUGUCUGAAUAUGGGGGGACCAUCCUCCAAGGCUAAAUACUCAUCAUCGACCGAUAGUGAACCAGUACCGUGAGGGAAAGGCGAAAAGAACCCCGGAAGGGGAGUGAAAUAGAACCUGAAACCUGAUGCAUACAUACAGUGGGAGCAUCUUUGUGGUGUGACUGCGUACCUUUUGUAUAAUGGGUCAACGACUUACAUUCAGUAGCGAGCUUAACCGAGUAGGGGAGGCGUAGGGAAACCGAGUCUUAAUAGGGCGACUAGUUGCUGGGUGUAGACCCGAAACCGAGUGAUCUAUCCAUGGCCAGGAUGAAGGUGCGGUAAAACGCAUUGGAGGUCCGAACCCACGCAUGUUGCAAAAUGCGGGGAUGAGCUGUGGAUAGGGGUGAAAGGCUAAACAAACUCGGAGAUAGCUGGUUCUCCCCGAAAACUAUUUAGGUAGUGCCUCGAGUAUGAGACUGAUGGGGGUAAAGCACUGUUAUGGCUCUGUCUCUUAUACACAUCU
This 674-nucleotide ribosomal RNA is filed under the name Kingella kingae. Its description in RNAcentral is "partial 23S ribosomal RNA". It matches the Rfam family "Bacterial large subunit ribosomal RNA", at positions 225 to 945 of the family's 2925-position model. The record is from RNAcentral. Lineage: Bacteria; Pseudomonadati; Pseudomonadota; Betaproteobacteria; Neisseriales; Neisseriaceae.